Lathyrus oleraceus (garden pea) is the source of this 1645-nucleotide long non-coding RNA. RefSeq lists it as uncharacterized. The record is from RefSeq and is a predicted model, not a curated record. The transcript is spliced from 2 exons. NCBI's taxonomy places the organism in Eukaryota, Viridiplantae, Streptophyta, Magnoliopsida, Fabales, Fabaceae.
GCUGAGUGAAAACUGGAUGUACGAACUCUUUUCCGAAAGCUUCGAACGGCGCCUCCGUCGCAUUCAUCACCAUCAGCAUCGCGUACGAUGCCAUCAUCACGCGUCGCAGAGCAUCAAUGCAUCUCAGGGAAGCGUCUUCAUCUUCUUUGCAUUCGUCCUCCCCUCAUCAUCGUGCUCAUCUCGCACUUUCGGAGCGGUUACGAAUCGUCCAAAACGUGUUUCGGUUCGUGUUAUGAACGCGCAACUCAAUCUCGCGUUUCACAUUCGAAGCUCGUAGAUUCACACUUCAUCAACUUCUCGUCGUCAUCGUCAUCGCGUCUCUGAAUGUUUCGAUUUCAUCUGCACCGCAUCUUCGAUUGCUGCGUUUUAUGCUAAAAAAACUCGAAGCGAACGACGAUUCCAAUCAUCAAUCCGCAUUCCGAAAUCCGAGUCAAUGACUCAGUUUGGUUCACAAAUGUAUGCGUGCACCAACAGAAUCGGAACCGAAGCGAGAGAGUCACCGGUAUGAAGAUUGUCGAAUCGAGCUGAGGAAUCAGGGCUCCGACACGAUGGUUCUUCUAUUGCUUCACAGAAGGUGAUGCAGAAUGCUGUAGGGUCAUUUAAAAGUGAUGCGGAAAGGAAGCAGUUGCAGAAUUGAAGGAGAUGGAUGCAAAAAUGCAGAAAUUUCUAUGCCGAAAAAUGAAAAACCUUGAUGCAGAACGUAGAACUUUCUAUGCAGAAAAAUGAAGAACCUCUAUGAAGAAUGUAGAACUUUCUAUGCAGAAAAAAUGAAGAACCUCUAUGAAGAAUAUAUCAGGCACAUAUAGCCCUUGAUUAUGUUAGAAAUUUGAGUGAAAUUUAUCUGAAAUUCAGAUAUAAAUUUAGUUAGUUAGAAAUGCUAAUGAAAUGAACUUGAAAUUCACUUGAAAUGUCUAUGUGGGUUAGAAACUCAAUAAGUUCUUAAAGUGAAAUUUGGUUGAAAUGAUAAUGAAAUGCAAUUUGAUCAAAUGACAGUGAACUUGUUAGAACUGACAAAAUAGUUAGUUACAAAUAUUAUCUUGACAUGAGAACAAUUUGAGUUGGUUAGAAAGUGUGUUAACAAUUAAUUUUAUUGAAAUUCUGUUAAGGUCUUAUAUUUUUCUGAAAUUCUGUUGAGUUAGCAAUUAGGGAAAUGUUAGGUGAAGUUAGUUAAAGAAGUAAAUCAUGUUAGUUAGAUUAAAAUGUUCUGUUAAUGAAAUGUGAGUUAUUGAAAUAGUUAGGGUUUUGUGAUUUGUUCUGUACUGUUAGGUAGUGAAAAGGGACGUUACUUUAUUAAAUUUUGCAAUAUUUCUUGGAGUGCUUUGAUGUUAAUAACUCAUUCAACAAUUCUGCAGGAACAACAAAGUGGGGGAAUGCUAUACUAUACACAGCAAAAUGAAAUAUGUCGAUUCUGCUUGAAUGAUGCAGGGCGACAUUGUUUUGGUUAUGAAGGAGCUUGUCCAUGCCUUUUUAAAAAUAAUGUUGAUAGCCUCUCAUUUGUGAAAUUGUAUUUGUCGUUUGUUAAGUUAUGAAAUUUUGUCUAUGAUUUCUUAAUAUGACACAAAUAUGUUUCAACAGUUAGAAACAAACGAGGGUUUGAAGACAUAUUAUUCCAAGAUCUUUGGUUUUAAAUUUUUUUAUCAUCAAA